UUCUAAAACACCAAUAAAUAAAUAAACCUUAUGAAGGUUCACUAAAAUUAAUGAAAUUACAUGGAUAGAGGAAGGUUUUUUGUGGUGCUACAACUUUUCACAUGGUAAUUAUUACAAUCAUAUUUUCAACAAAAAAUAAAAUAAAAUUAAAAAUUAAACCAGCAUAUUUCAAUUGACUUCCUUUACUUCACAGACAUUGAUUUCAAAUUUUCUUUCAAGGGAUACAAUCAUAUGUCAUCUAGUGGCUUCACUACAAACACAUCCACCUAAAAAAGUCAAGCCAAAUGUCUCCUUUGUGAUUUAAGCCAAGAGGAAGACCUCACUUGUGCAGAUCUGCAAUGGGUAUAGGUAGUUAAUUCUCACUUUGACAAUUCCAACUUAAUUGUUAGAAAUGAAAAUGAAACUCAAGCCACAAUGAAAUCAGAAAAUUAGUAAAACAUAACCUAAAAUGAAACAAUACUCCAUUCAGACAUUUCAACAAACAAUUGUAAUAGUUGUAGGCUAAACGUUUGCCUUGGUUAUGCUUUAGCUGAUGAGCUCUGAUUCGUAGCUUGAAUUCGGAGGCUCGAAUUUGGUCCGAAUUCGGAGAAGAGGGAGAAGAGAAGAAGAAAAAGGAAGAAGAAGAAGAAGAGAAGAAGAAGGAGAAGAAGAACUGGACUGGAGGGGGCCAUCAAAAUCAGAGGUGGAGGCGGAGGUGGAGGCGGAGGCGCCGACCGGUGGAGGCAGAGGCGGAGGCGGGGCCGAGCGACGAGCUGCGAUGCCAACGAGCUGUGUUCAACGACGUCGACGAGCUGUGUCCGACGAGCUCUGUUUCUCUCUCGCCUCUGCCCUGCUCUCUCUCGCCUGUGUUCAACGAAGAAGAAGAAGAAAAGAAAUAAAGAAAAGGACGAUAAAGAAAACGAAGAAAAAGAAGAAAAAAAAAAGAAUGGCAAAACGACGUCGUUUUGCCAUUCGAGCCAAAAUCGAGCCACGAAUUUCGAGCUAUCAGUUAUUUUCCUUAGCUAAUUUGGCUGGGUCUACUCACAUUGUACCAGAUGUCAGUUUUUGAUAGGUCUGUGGCACCACGUGGUGGAAGUGACGUGGUGCCAUUGGGACCAUGAAUGAAUAAUCUCUCCUUCCCAAUUCCUUCCUCAUAAUUAUUGUUCUCUCACUACAAAAGUCAUCACAAAAGUCUUCCCAGUUCCUUCCUCGCAUCAUAGUGACCUCGUUAUUCACACUAUAUCUUCCAUCACUCUCCUUCUAUCUUUUCCAUUGCAAUUGUUCUUUCUCCAUUUGAAAUUUCCAAACCCCUCAGAAGAAUUUACGGACUUGAUCUGCUUUUUGAUUUUUUGCAACAAUAUUCUUCUAGCAAAGCAUCUUGGUUUCUCUCUGGCUUGAAAGGAAUAGGCCACACCAUGGAAAACAUUCGUUCAGCCAUUGAAAUUGGGAAGAAUUUGUGUGAUUUAACUGGACCAUGGAUUGAAUAUCACAAUAACCUUGAUACUAACAUGGAAACUCUCAAAAGGAAGACAGAGCAAUUGAAUGGCCGAAACAAUGACAUAAAUGAAGAAGUGAAUUAUGCAGAGCAGCGGUCAAGGAAAAGACGAAGGGUUGAAGUUAAACUUUGGCAAGAAGAUGAGCGAAGGAUAACAGAUGAUGUCCAAACUUUGGAAAGACAAGAGCCAGAAGUACGAGGAUUGAAGAUGCCUUCAAACGAGCAGAGUUGGGAAAGCGUGUAGUGGAGACGAUUAAAGAGGUGGAAAAAUUGCAUGAAAAUGGUGGAUUUUGUUAUGGUUUGCUAAUUGAUGAUCCAACUUGUGGACACGCCAUACCAGCAACGGAAUCUUUGGCUGAAACCACAAGUGUGAGGAACAAGGAGAAAAUUUGGAAUUUCUUGAUGGAUGAUGCGGUUAGAAAAAUCGGUGUUCGGGAAAUGAGGGGAGUUGGCAAAACAACCAGCAUGAAACACAUCAAUAAUCAACUUUUGGUUGAAACUUGUACCUUUAAUGAUGUUAUUUGGGUUACAGUAUCUAAAGCAUUCAAGAUCAAAAAUCUACAAAGGUAGAUAGCUAAGAAACUGAAUCUUGGUCUUUCUGAUUAUGAGGAUAAAUUGCGUACAGCAUCAGAAAUACAUA
Non-coding RNA from Camellia sinensis, 2114 nucleotides. The record is from RefSeq and is a predicted model, not a curated record. Lineage: Eukaryota; Viridiplantae; Streptophyta; Magnoliopsida; Ericales; Theaceae.